UAAUUUUGUUWUAAAAAUUAAAGAAGUAUUUGUUAUAUUCUUGAAAUUUAAAGAUUUUGGCGGUAUUUUAGUCUUUUCAGAGGAACCUGUUCUAUAAAUGAUAAUCCACGAUAUUAAAUACUUAAUUUUUUAAUUUAUAUAUCGUUGUUAAUAAAAUAUUUUAAAAGAAUAAAUAUUUAAUAAGUAAAAUUUUAAAAUAAAUCAAAUCAAGAUGUAGUUUAUAAUUAAGAAGAAAUGGGUUACAAUAAAUUUAUUUUUAGAUAAAAUAAYAAAAUUUAUUUUUGAAAUUGGAUUUGAAAGUAAUUAAUUUAAAAAAUUUAUUUUAAUGAUUAAGCUCUARAAWAUG
RNAcentral lists this ribosomal RNA (346 nucleotides) under Holopsis sp. CO943. Its description in RNAcentral is "partial 12S ribosomal RNA". The record is from RNAcentral. Lineage: Eukaryota; Metazoa; Arthropoda; Insecta; Coleoptera; Corylophidae.